AUGCACGCUGGCGGCGUGCCUAAUACAUGCCAGUCGAGCGAACAGACGAGGAGCUUGCUCCUCUGACGUUAGCGGCGGACGGGUGAGUAACACGUGGAUAACCUACCUAUAAGACUGGGAUAACUUCGGGAAACCGGAGCUAAUACCGGAUAAUAUAUUGAACCGCAUGGUUCAAUAGUGAAAGACGGUUUUGCUGUCACUUAUAGAUGGAUCCGCGCCGCAUUAGCUAGUUGGUAAGGUAACGGCUUACCAAGGCGACGAUGCGUAGCCGACCUGAGAGGGUGAUCGGCCACACUGGAACUGAGACACGGUCCAGACUCCUACGGGAGGCAGCAGUAGGGAAUCUUCCGCAAAGGGCGAAAGCUUGACGGAGCAACGCCGCGUGAGUGAUGAAGGUCUUCGGAUCGUAAAACUCUGUUAUUAGGGAAGAACAAAUGUGUAAGUAACUAUGCACGUCUUGACGGUACCUAAUCAGAAAGCCACGGCUAACUACGUG
RNAcentral lists this ribosomal RNA (496 nucleotides) under uncultured bacterium. RNAcentral describes it as "partial 16S ribosomal RNA". It matches the Rfam family "Bacterial small subunit ribosomal RNA", at positions 29 to 507 of the family's 1533-position model. The record is from RNAcentral.